This 301-nucleotide ribosomal RNA is filed under the name uncultured bacterium. RNAcentral describes it as "partial 16S ribosomal RNA". It matches the Rfam family "Bacterial small subunit ribosomal RNA", at positions 509 to 807 of the family's 1533-position model. The record is from RNAcentral.
CAGCCGCCGCGGGAAUACGUAGGGUGCAAGCGUUAAUCGGAAUUACUGGGCGUAAAGCGUGCGCAGGCGGUUUGUUAAGACAGAUGUGAAAUCCCCGGGCUCAACCUGGGAACUGCAUUUGUGACUGGCAAGCUAGAGUGUGGCAGAGGGGGGUGGAAUUCCGCGUGUAGCAGUGAAAUGCGUAGAUAUGCGGAGGAACACCGAUGGCGAAGGCAGCCCCCUGGGCCAACACUGACGCUGAGGCACGAAAGCGUGGGGAGCAAACAGGAUUAGAUACCCCCGUAGUCCCUGUCUCUUAUAC